GAUGAACGCUGGCGGCGUGCCUAAUACAUGCAAGUCGAGCGAACAGACGAGGAGCUUGCUCCUCUGACGUUAGCGGCGGACGGGUGAGUAACACGUGGAUAACCUACCUAUAAUACUGGGAUAACUUCGGGAAACCGGAGCUAAUACCGGAUAAUAUAUUGAACCGCAUUGUUCAAUAGUGAAAGACGGUUUUGCUGUCACUUAUAGAUGGAUCCGCGCCGCAUUAGCUAGUUGGUAAGGUAACGGCUUACCAAGGCGACGAUGCGUAGCCGACCUGAGAGGGUGAUCGGCCACACUGGAACUGAGACACGGUCCAGACUCCUACGGGAGGCAGCAGUAGGGAAUCUUCCGCAAUGGGCGAAAGCCUGACGGAGCAACGCCGCGUGAGUGAUGAAGGUCUUCGGAUCGUAAAACUCUGUUAUUAGGGAAGAACAAAUGUGUAAGUAACUAUGCACGUCUUGACGGUACCUAAUCAGAAAGCCACGGCUAACUACGUG
This 497-nucleotide ribosomal RNA is filed under the name uncultured bacterium. RNAcentral's name for it is "partial 16S ribosomal RNA". It matches the Rfam family "Bacterial small subunit ribosomal RNA", at positions 28 to 507 of the family's 1533-position model. The record is from RNAcentral.